Molecule: ribosomal RNA, 867 nt
Filed under: uncultured bacterium
Lineage: Bacteria
Description: bacterial SSU rRNA
Rfam family: Bacterial small subunit ribosomal RNA
Source: RNAcentral
AGAGUUUGAUCCUGGCUCAGAAUGAACGCUAGCGGCGUGCUUAACACAUGCAAGUCGUACGAGAACUCUUUAGCUUGCUAAAGAUAGUAAAGUGGCGCACGGGUGAGUAACGCGUGGGUAAUUUACCUCUGAAUUUGGGAUAACUCCGCGAAAGCGGGGCUAAUACCGGAUAAUAUUUCAGGAUCUUCGGGUUUUGAAAUCAAAAGUGGCCUCUACAUGUAAGCUACUGUUUGGAGAUGAGCCCGCGUACCAUUAGCUUGUUGGUAGGGUAAUGGCCUACCAAGGCUACGAUGGUUAGCUGGUCUGAGAGGAUGAUCAGCCACACUGGAACUGACACACGGUCCAGACUCCUACGGGAGGCAGCAGUGGGGAAUUUUGCGCAAUGGGGGAAACCCUGACGCAGCAACGCCGCGUGAGUGAUGAAGGCCUUCGGGUCGUAAAGCUCUGUCAAGUGGGAAGAAUCUGGGAAAUGCUAAUACCAUUUUUCACUGACGGUACCACUGAAGGAAGCACCGGCUAACUCCGUGCCAGCAGCCGCGGUAAUACGGGGGGUGCAAGCGUUAUUCGGAAUUAUUGGGCGUAAAGGGCGCGUAGGCGGUCUUUUAAGUCAGAUGUGAAAGCCCGGGGCUUAACCCCGGAAGUGCAUUUGAAACUGAAGGACUUGAGUAUGGGAGAGGGAAGUGGAAUUCCUGGUGUAGAGGUGAAAUUCGUAGAUAUCAGGAGGAACACCGGUGGCGAAGGCGACUUCCUGGACCAAUACUGACGCUGAGGCGCGAAGGCGUGGGGAGCAAACAGGAUUAGAUACCCUGGUAGUCCACGCAGUAAACGAUGAACACUAGGUGUAGCGGGUAUUGACCCCUGCUGUGC